UUUACUUCACUCUAGAAGUAUCUUCAUCUCUCCACUCUCUCACUCUCCGCCAUAAAAUCUCAUUACAAUGUGAGUAUCACCGAUCUCCUUACUCCUCCAUGGCCAAAUCCUCAAGGGGCUACCCUCCAUUGUUACCAUCGAAACCAAUCGAAUUCAAACACAAACCACUACUACUCAAAAUCAAACACCCAACCCCAAUUAAUUUUGACUCCGACUGAAUCAAACCCUUCAAACGAAUCUCGAAUCACCCAUUUUUAUGAAAAUUCUCUGAUUUUUUUAACCAAGGUAUGAAUUGAUGCUUCCUUUUUGGGGUUCUAUGGAGCAAAAUUCUUUUCACUUUCUUAGUUAGAUAUUAUGAUUCUAUCUUGUAUUUCUUUCAAUUCUAUCUCUAUUAAUGUUUAUUUUGGUCUUUAUUAAGGGGAUUGGGGAUUGAAACUACAUUAAAGAGUUAGUUUGAUCAAGGUGGAAGAGUGUGUAAAUUGACUGGAAACUACAUCGGAGGAAUUGCAACUGGGUAAGUAUUAAUGUUUCUUCAAUUUUGAUGCUUUGUUUCAGAUCUUUUUGAAGUGUAACUUGGUUGCUUCUUUGAUGAAAAUGUUUGUCCUUUCAUAAAGACAAUAGAUACUUAUUUAUUCAAAUCUUUAUUUAGAUGUUAGAAAAUUGAAUUAAACAAGAAGCAAUUUGUAGCCAGGUUGAACCAACAACUUGAAUAGGGAUUCUUCUUCAUGUUCUUUUUUCACUUGAAACUUUUAUAGUACUUCUUAAUGUUAGUGUAUGCGCUUUUAGGUCAAGAGGAAUUCUGCAUUCUAAGCUAUUUCAAAGUCGAAACGUUGUUACGGAAACUUUGAAUCUUGCAAGCUAAAGAAUUUUGCAUCUACAUUGGCUUGAAAACAUAAUACGAUUAGGAAUAAAAUAAGAGCUUUGUUUAGUGGGAUAUUUUGAUUAUAUUUGAAAGUUAAUUUUGUUGAAACCUUUCAAAUUGGAAAUGAUUAACAUGUCUCAGAAGUCGAGUCAUCCAAUUAUAAAAUAUCAGUUUAUCUCAUAAACAUUGAUAUGUUGUACUAGAGGCCUUGAACUUCUCUUUUGCAACUUGUCAAUCAAUGCAAACUUCUCCUAGAUGAAACAUAUGUAUCUUUAAAUUUAUAGCUCUCUAAUUUCUAUUUUUGCACUCCUCAGUUUUAGACUUCUUUAGUUGACAAUUGUUGUUUUCUUGGUUUUUGAAGGUAUAUCUAAAUGUCUCGCUGCUAUAUGGUUUCUGAGAUAACAAAAGGUUGACUAUUAAGUUAGGUAUUGUAUCUCCAACACAUUUGAAAUGAUAGAUCAAAAAAGACUUUGAAUUUUGAAGUUCCGAAAUGGAUUUAUAUGUCAUUAUUUAUUGUAGAGAAACUAGAAACUAUUGUUUUACGAAGGGGAAGAGCUUGUAAAUAAGUUGGCAAAGUUGGAAAGGGAUGUCAAAGAAUGAGAAGGCGCAAGAAUUGACUCUGCGACAUUUUUAAAAACUGUAAGCUCUUGAACUCUUUUUGAUAAUUUUUAUCCUAAAUAGCAGUAGAUUUCUUAAUAUUUGUUUAGGGUACUUCAUUUUUGCAACUGGUUGUUGAAAUAAAUCUCUUAUAUCUCAACCGCUUGCUGAUUAUUUGAUUUUUAUGGCUCUCAUUGUUAAUAUUGUCUUUGUGAAUUAUGUUGUUCCUCUCUUUUAUAAUUGAAGAUAUUGAGAGUGGUAAUCAAACUUGUUAUAAAUUGUAUCUCACAAUCUUUUCUUUGAUCUCAUAUGAACAGUUCUCCUUUGCACUUUAUCGGGUGUGGUUCUCCUUGUAGAAAAUUGAUAUGUUUAUAACAUGUGACCGAUAAAAACAACUUUAGUACACUGGAUAGACAACAUGCAAAACUAUAAGUUACCUAUUAGAGAUACUGCUUCUCCUCCCUUCAAAUCUAUUGUCCGAAACUUUAAUUUUAUCCAAUUUCUAUUGUAUAACUAAAAAGAAUAUUUCAGGAAGUUCCUUCAAGUAUAAGAACACUCAGUUAUUACAAGUGUUAUUCGACAACUUUGAGUUAACAAUGCAUAAUACAUGUGCACAAAGGAUAUGGGAGUUUUCCUUGCUUAAUGUUUGAGUACAUUUUCUUUUUGAUACACGAGAAUGAAAUUCAAGCAUAAAUCUGAUUAUAAUCUAACAAACACUAUAUUAUUUUUGUUUUUCCAAAUCUAAAGGCAAUUCCUGCUAUGGGACUAUAAGAGUUGUAAACAUCUAUUUCACAAUUUUUCUUUGUUUCAUUUAGAAGAAAACUUUGAAUCUUUAGCACAUGAAAUUAGUAUUUAUGCGAUACUUGUAAUGUAACAAAAUAUGCUUCAAACUAUUCGGUGUAUGUCUAUACAAAAGGCUAUCAAUCACUUAAUGCUAUUAACUUUUUGUCCAUUAUCAUUGUGAGUUUCACCCACACAAGUGAAAUGCUUCAAUUUAAUGGUUAGUCUGAGGUAAAAUAUGUUUCUGACGUCUUGGUUGAAUUUAUAAUGCUUUUAAAAUAUUUUUUUCCACAGUACAAUUGUCUUUAAUGUAAAAUGUAGACAUGGUUAGCAUUUUGAGAUGAAACCUUUUUAUUUUGAUGUUGAUGCUAUAUACUUAUAUUCAUAGAAGACUUAUCAAUGAGAGACUUGAUUAUAUCUCAAAACUUCACACCUUUCUUGGCCAUGACUUCAAAAUUAUUGGAUAGAAGUGUUUUUUGGGCAUGCAGUGAUAAAAGAGAAGAAUAAACAUAAAGCUUGAUUUAGUGUCUUUACACAAAAAAGUAACACAUCUUUUAAUUCUAUAGUUAUAUUUCUAAAUCUUUUAAAAUGACUUGAUUUAACAUUUUAGUUUGUUUUCACAUAAUAAAAGAAAAUUUUGGAUAUCAAAAUUUGAUCUGACUUCAUGCUUGCCAUAAGAAAAUGUAGGCAAUAAUAAGUUAUAAGUAUUGAACAUUGUCUUGGGAUAGAAUGUUUGGUUACUCUACUAUACAACUACAUCAAUGAGUUUGUCUUUGAACACAAAUUUGAUGACCUUAUUUAACAAGAAAGUGAUGAGAUUAAGAGACUAUUUGAUUUAGCUAAGUGUUUGUUGAUAAUAAUAGCAGUUUGUAGUUAUAUUUAUAAAAAAAAACCGUAAAGCACAACUUUACCCUUGGUCAUUCCACUCUUCAUGUUUCUAUAUAGUAGAAAAGUCCUCUGUUAAACUUUACUAGCCUGUGCAAAUUCUAUACUUAUAAACUAAAUUUCUGAAAUAGUUUAUAUCCAUAUUUUUGAAAAAUAGUAACCUGACAUGAUACCUUAGUCACAGGGAUUAUCAGAGAGUUUCAUUUUAUUGUUGAGUUAGACAUAUCAUGUAAAUUACACUUCGACAAAGAUACUAUAAUCUUAUGUAGCCAUAUUCUUUUUAUUUGAUAAGUUGAAAGUCAUGUAAGUGAAUCUUUUCGUUGGAUCUAGAUAUGCGAGCUAUAUUUAUACUAUAUAGAACGAUGAGAUUAGUUACAUGUUUGUUAAAAGUUAAUAAUUUCAUAAUGAGGGCAUUUAGACUUAUACUACGUGUCUUUUUAGAUGCGCAGAGUAAGAAUGUAGAUAUGAGCUCUUUUGGAGUAUGAUGCGUCUGCUCGGCAUUUUAUAGAAACAAAAGGACUUUCACCAACUCUUGAUUUUUAAUGGAUAAUCUAGAAAAUUGUUGGAAGGUAAGAACUGUAGCUUUAGUAAAUAAAUCUUUUUUGUCCAUGUCUUAUUAUGUUUCUAAUAUUUGAAUCUUGUUUUGUGUUGGUGUCUUCACUGUUUCUUAUUUCUCUUCGAGUGUAUUUUUAUGAACUGAUUUUAUUUUCAAGUUUUUAUUCCUUCCAUGAAAUAUUAAAGUUGGAGUAAGUAGUUCGCGUUGAAUGAAAGAAAUUUUUCAGCUUAUCAAGACAACUGCAGCCACUUAAGGAUAUCAACUUCUAUUCUUUUGGAAUAUACAGAGAGCAUCUGCUCAAAUUUACUGGUAAUGAUUCGAGGCAUUAAUAGAUUUUAGAAAAUGAAUUUUGUCAUAUUUGAUGCGCUAUCAACUUCUAUUCUAAUGAGAAAUACAGGGAGCAUUUGCUCGAAGUUAUCAUUCGGAAAAUUUGAUGUUGUUUCUAAUAUACUCAGUCUGAUCCCACAAGUUGGGAAUGUGGAGGGUGGGGCGUACGCAGAUCUUACCUCUAUUUUUGAUGUUGUUUCCGGUAGAUCCUCAGCUAAAAAAAAGCAUUUUUAAGAACAGGUUUGAUAAAUACAAGAGUAAAAAGGCUAUGCUGAAAAUCAUUGUAUUCGUUCUUCAUGUGUACUAUGUUCUCUUCUUUGAACUACAAUAUCAAAGUAGUUGUUCUCUGUGAAUGUCUGGAUUAUUGAUUAAUCUUAAUAAACCGUUAAAUGACUAGAAGCCAAAAAAUUUCAGUUGAUUAAAAUGAAACUGAAAAAAUUGUUUAAGUAGGACAAACAAAAAUAUGGAUGAAGUACAUAUUGUUUCUAAAUAUUUUGGUUAGCCUAAUUUAGAGAGUAGCAUUGAGAAUCACUCUCUUCUGGCAGCUGAAAGCUGGUUACAACUGUAUGAUUUUUUCUUUUGCAAUUUGUGACAAUUUACUUUGGUAAAUGACAGACCAUUGUUAAAUGAAAGUGUUGAUAUGUUACUAUUUGAAACUGAAUAUGAUGAGGCAUAUAAUCUUUUGAAUUUUAGUCUUUAGUUUACUCAGACAUCUGUAAUUGGUUUCUUUAUCUUCAUGAUAUAUUUGCAUCAAAUUGGUAACUCAGUAAUUUAAUUUCAAGGGCUUGCUGAAUACUUGCAGAAAUGUUCACGUGUUAUGUCUAGAUUAAGUUCAAAAAUACCGUGGAGUCAAACUGUACAAAUGUGCAUGAUGGGAGGUCCGAAAAGGGCAGUAGCUUGGAAAGAAGUGAGAUAUCACUUAUCCCUCCCUAUAGCUUAUACAUAUCCUAUAUUAUCUUUUGUUUUUAUUUUUAUUGCAGCUUUGAAACUUUCUUCGAAUGGUAUUGCUAAUGAAAUGCGGCUUUCAUUUCAUGGAAUAGUAACACAAUAAGAUUUUCCCAUUCAAUGUCAUUUGGCAAUGAUGAUGAAUCAUGGAGGUAACUUCACGGUUGAACAGUUUGUCAGGCUUCAUUGUGAAGACAUAUUGCAAGUUCAUUACUUUAUCCUCUCCUCGGGAUCCAGUUUCAAAAUGUACAGAGGUUGUUGAUGUACUUAAGCCGAAACUAUGAUGAAUUUAUUUAUCAUGCAAACUUAAAAAAGCAAGAAGCCUAAGUUCAUUUGUGAAAAUAUUCAUUGUGUAUCAUUUGAGUUGAAUAACUUGUAUUAUAUGAAGACAAAUAACUAUCGGAAGAACCAAUGAAGUUACUACUAUGAUACAAUGUUAUGUUAAGAAAUUUCAGCAGAAGCUUGUGAUAUUUUUUACUUCUGACUGUAAGUUCUUAUUUCCUAUUUCUUGUUGCUUCAGUAAGUAGUAAACUAUAUAUAUAC
Molecule: long non-coding RNA, 5495 nt
Filed under: Solanum tuberosum (potato)
Lineage: Eukaryota; Viridiplantae; Streptophyta; Magnoliopsida; Solanales; Solanaceae
Description: long non-coding RNA (STUB_LNC010678)
Source: RNAcentral